UCUUUAUACAUAUCCAAUGUAGAGGUUUUAGAAGUAUUAGAAUCUUCUGUAUUCAGUUUCUUUUGGAACGAGAAAUCGUUGGAGUCUGAAAAAUUAUCAUGGGAUAUCUUUAAGCCUUUCUUCAAAUAAGGGUGAAGCUAAGAAAAUAUUAGUGAUUGCUUGAUUAUUUACAUAACUGAAACAAUGGAAAACUCAUUUUGUGUCAUAUGUUAAGAUGAAGUCUUGAAUAAAACAUUCGCCUGUUCGUGUUUUAAACUUACUUUAGAUUUUAAAUCGGCAAGCCGUGAAUUAUUUAUGGCCAUGUUUUGUUUCAUUUCUUCGUAAGAUUUCUGUUCAUUCUCCAAACGAGCAGUUUCAACCUUCAAUUCCUGUUGAAGUACGUUAAUAUGGUCCAAAUCACUGUAUAAUUGCUGUUCCAAUUGCAUCUAAAAAUGUUAGUCAUAUCUCUUUCGUAUGUAUGCGUAUCAAGACUUAAUAACUUACAUUCGAAGAAAGUAAUUGAGAGAACAGUAUUGACUCUUUUCUUUUCCUUGGUACAGGCAAAUUUCUCAGAGGAGCUUCGAUUUUUAAAAGUAUAUUCAUGAACCAUUCCUCGGCCAAAGAUUUUCUUGUUUCUGAUUUUAUUGUAUUCAAAACCAAUCUGUUACGAUAGCACAGUUAGCAUACGUACACAUAAUGACUAAAAAAAUUUGGAAAAGUACUUAAAAGACUUUUCCAGGUAAACAUCAACAGCAAACUUUGAUUUCCCUUUCAGUACACAAGUAAGCGCUAAAAAGCACAAGCACUUUUAGCAAUAACAUGAUUCUCAAUUACUUACCUUGAACACGUCCUAAAAAUAAUUAUUAUUUCUUGGCGCUGCUUAUCCUCUAAUGGACGCCAUCUUUUUUGAAUUUGGUCUCGACGCACCGCGCGAACGCGCCUUUUCAUUUCCAUUGCAUAUAUUUAUAAAAAUGGUGCUACCACUUCAAUUUUCUUUUAAGCAAUCUGGAACUUAAAUAGCAAAAUAUGUACGUAUGGUUUUAUAUGAAAAAUUUCUCUAUAACAAGAAUUCGCCGUUUCAACGUUUGCAUGCUGUUGUAGCGCUUCGGACGAAGUUGUUUUACAUAUAUACAGUCAACCAAGCCAAUUCUCAAUUACUUAUUUUAUUUCAAUAA
This is a non-coding RNA of Schizosaccharomyces pombe (fission yeast), 1154 nucleotides long. The record is from the annotation of a GenBank genome assembly. Lineage: Eukaryota; Fungi; Ascomycota; Schizosaccharomycetes; Schizosaccharomycetales; Schizosaccharomycetaceae.